Long non-coding RNA from Cucumis sativus (cucumber), 551 nucleotides. RefSeq lists it as uncharacterized. The record is from RefSeq and is a predicted model, not a curated record. The transcript is spliced from 3 exons. NCBI's taxonomy places the organism in Eukaryota, Viridiplantae, Streptophyta, Magnoliopsida, Cucurbitales, Cucurbitaceae.
AUGAUAGCAAUGGUGGUCCCAAUGUUAAAAUCUUGGUGGACUUGCUCACAGGAGGAGAUUGUAGUUUACCUAUUCCAGUGAAGGGCAAGAUAGAGACUUUAAAUCAAGCAUUAGAGGAUUAAAAACAUGGCAAGCUAAGCAUGAUUUACAACAUUAUCGGUCAAAUCCGAAAUGGAAACCUAUAAAGUUUAAUACAAAAAAGUGCAUAUACGCAAGAGGAGAUUGACGAGAUUUGAACAAAAUAUGCAAGCUUUGUUAGCCGAUUUGUGUAAGCUUUUACACUUUUUUUUGUAGUUUAUAAGUUACUAGUACUAAUACUAAUUGUUUUAAUAUAUAAGCUACGAGAUUCUAGUACUACUUGUUGUACAUACUUUAAUUUUCAGGUUUUCUGCUUGUAGUAGUUUAUGAAUAGGUGUUGUAUUGUAGUGUUUUAGGUGUUGACUUUAGAGUGUAUUUGUUGUAGUACUAUGUGGAAAGUGUGUAUUAGUGGAGGAAUUUGUUGUACACAUACUUUAAUACUUUACAUAUUAUUUACUUGAUUGAUAUGUGUA